UUUGUUAGAACUUUACCUGAGACAACAACCUUUCUAUGCAACUUACAGACUAUGCUGCUGAGAGGCUGUUGGCAUCUCAAGAAAUUGCCUUUAGAAAUGCAAAAUCUGAUCAACCUGCGUCAUCUUGAAUAGAGGAUCUGGUGAUGGAAGGUGGUGAUAGGGGUGUACUUGAAAAGAUGAAACCUCAUGGAUAUCUGAAAAAUCUCGCCAUAUUGAAUUAUGAUGGUAUUCAAUUUCCAUCAUCGAUAGGGGAUCCUUUCUUUAGUAACCUGGUGCGUUUAGAGUUGGUGAAUUGCGAGAAAU
RNAcentral lists this unclassified non-coding RNA (303 nucleotides) under Hevea brasiliensis (rubber tree). Lineage: Eukaryota; Viridiplantae; Streptophyta; Magnoliopsida; Malpighiales; Euphorbiaceae. The record is from RNAcentral.